Molecule: long non-coding RNA, 126 nt
Organism: Poecilia latipinna (sailfin molly)
Lineage: Eukaryota; Metazoa; Chordata; Actinopteri; Cyprinodontiformes; Poeciliidae
Exons: 3
Source: RefSeq, a predicted model, not a curated record
GUUCUGAUCCACACUCCAUACCAGUAGGUGGCGGUAAUGCACACCAUUAAGUUGCUUGCCAACCGCCGUUAAAAACAAAAAGAAGAAGAAGAAGAAGAAGGUGCGUUCAGAGCUGAAUCCUGGUCU